This 253-nucleotide ribosomal RNA is filed under the name uncultured bacterium. Its description in RNAcentral is "partial 16S ribosomal RNA". It matches the Rfam family "Bacterial small subunit ribosomal RNA", at positions 524 to 776 of the family's 1533-position model. The record is from RNAcentral.
UACGUAGGGGGCAAGCGUUGUCCGGAAUCAUUGGGCGUAAAGCGCGUGUAGGCGGCCCGGUAAGUCCGCUGUGAAAGUCCAGGGCUCAACCCUGGGAUGCCGGUGGAUACUGUCGGGCUCGAGUCCGGAAGAGGCGAGUGGAAUUCCUGGUGUAGCGGUGGAAUGCGUAGAGAUCCGGAGGAAGACCGGUGGCGAAGGCGGUCUGCUGGGCAGUACCUGACGCUGAGGCGCGAAAGCGUGGGGAGCAAACAGG